Long non-coding RNA from Pygocentrus nattereri (red-bellied piranha), 1567 nucleotides. RefSeq lists it as uncharacterized. The record is from RefSeq and is a predicted model, not a curated record. Lineage: Eukaryota; Metazoa; Chordata; Actinopteri; Characiformes; Serrasalmidae. The transcript has 3 exons.
GCGAAUCGAGACUACGGUAUUUCUCUGGCAAUUCUAUUGACUUGACAUUGUCAGCAGUGCAAAUGAAAAAUAAUCACGAUGUAGCAUUCGCUGGUCUCUGCUCGGACACUGUAGCAGUCUGGCAGAUGUCUGUAUCUGAGUCUCCCGUCAAGUUAGUCGACCUGCUAGACGGUGCUGAUUUUAGACCCCAUAAGCUGAUUUACACGCGUAUUCAGAUGUAGAUGUAGAUCACGACAGAACUAUACUAACUCAUUCAUUCAGCCACAGUUGUUUUCCUUCAGAGAAACAGGUGGGCUUGAAAUGACUCGUUUUUCACGUCGUUACUCUCAUAGAUCGAGAGCCAAGAGGACCUUCAAAAGCCAUGAUAGUUAAACAGAAGAAACAUGAUUGUGUUUUACACAGAGCCCCUCCCUGCAGGGGAGGCUGCAAUGCACGCGCAUGAUAGCAACGAUGGUAGCUGAAGAGGUCGACAACAUGAAGCACACACUGGUCUCUGUGAACUGGUCCUAUAAGGCAGGUCAGAGAUGAAUGAAGCCACCAGAGAGACAGACACUCUGCAGGGAUCUGGUGACCUUUAGAAAGGAUGAAUUCUACUGCCUCGCUCAGUGAUUGCAUCUCUACUGAAAGCUGCGGUCGGCAUGGAGAAAAAGAUUCGGCAAAGGUUGCACAUGAUUUUGCUACAUUUUUUACUUCAGAGAUGUUUUCAGUGAAGCUGUGCGUUGCAAUUUCCAGCUGCUGAAAAUAAUUGUCAUUUAUUGCCAAUUACUCUAAUGAGUUCCAAAAUACCCCCAAGGACAGUGCCCAGCUUGACAAAACAGAGAUGUGAGGGAGCAGAGAGGACAGAGGGGGAGGAAGAGCAUUGUUCCUGGCUGCACCCAUUAGAAACAUUUCCAAACGCCUCUCCCCAGCAGCAACAGUGUUCCCUGCCUGCUGAGACUUUGGCCAGCGUGUGUGUGUUGGGGGGAUGAAGUUCUGUUUGACAGAUGUCAACUGCAGGCCUGGCCGACAGCAAUCUGUGAGAAGAAUGUCAUUAAUACUUCAUCGUGCUUUAGCUAAACCUGGCAGGCAGAUGUACACAGAUUGAGCCCUGGGUGACUCUCCUUUAAAGCCUGUUGUUAUUUUUAGAGAGGAAGGUGCAACAGAAGGACACAAAAUUGUAAUGUUACAUUUUAAAAGAUUUAAACAGCAUGCUAUCAUAAAGUAUGUGAAGGAAAAAUAGUAAAAAUAUGCUACUCAGAAAGGGUGUUAUGAUGUUAAAAUACUAUCACUAUGUCUCUCCAGAGUGUCUCUCAUUUGCUGUCUUUCAUGAAAACCACUGUCGAUGAUCCAAACUGGAUGCUAUCAGACUGAAGUGGUGGCUCACAGGGGAUGGGCUCAUGCUAUAUAUGUGUCAUUGCUCCAAAUGACUAGGCUUUUCUUUUGUGUAUAUGUUCUUGGAGCCUAUUUUGUUAGUGAUCUGAUAAGGUCCACAUUGGAAAAAAUUAUGAUUUACUUGCAAUUUUUUUUGUCUGUAUCUUGUAUCUCAAAAUGAAAAUCUCAAAACUGGAAAAUAUAUGUAUUAUUACCA